GACGAACGCUGGCGGCGUGCUUAACACAUGCAAGUCGAGCGGUAAGGCCCUUUUGGGGGUACACGAGCGGCGAACGGGUGAGUAACACGUGGGUGACCUGCCCUCAGCUCUGGGAUAAGCCUGGGAAACUGGGUCUAAUACUGGAUAUGACCUUUCCUCGCAUGGGGGUUGGGUGGAAAGUUUUUCGGCUGGGGAUGGGCCCGCGGCCUAUCAGCUUGUUGGUGGGGUGAUGGCCUACCAAGGCGACGACGGGUAGCCGGCCUGAGGGGGCGACCGGCCACACUGGGACUGAGACACGGCCCAGACUCCUACGGGAGGCAGCAGUGGGGAAUAUUGCGCAAUGGGCGGAAGCCUGACGCAGCGACGCCGCGUGGGGGAUGACGGCCUUCGGUUGUAACC
RNAcentral lists this ribosomal RNA (399 nucleotides) under uncultured bacterium. Its description in RNAcentral is "bacterial SSU rRNA". It matches the Rfam family "Bacterial small subunit ribosomal RNA", at positions 28 to 430 of the family's 1533-position model. The record is from RNAcentral.